Microplitis demolitor is the source of this 694-nucleotide long non-coding RNA. RefSeq lists it as uncharacterized. The record is from RefSeq and is a predicted model, not a curated record. The transcript has 3 exons. NCBI's taxonomy places the organism in Eukaryota, Metazoa, Arthropoda, Insecta, Hymenoptera, Braconidae.
GAUGCUUAUCUCUUAGUACAUUUAUCUAUUAGUGUUAAUAAAUUUUUAUUUAUUUUAUGUAUAUAUAUUUUUUAAUAUUUUUGUGUUUCUUUAAAAUUAAUGUUUCAAUCGGUGGGUAUAAAAAAAGUUUAUAUUUAGGUGAAAUUAAACUCCCAACACCUGUGAGUCAGGAAAUUGGGUAUUUGUGAUCAUUUUCUCUAAAGAGGUUCAAAUAAUUCCCAGCUGAAAUACACUGCUCACCGCAAAUCAUCUUUUUUUAAAGACGUUCUGGGAAAAGCUCAGUCACUGGCUUGUUUACGGAUAUGUUAUGUCUGAUCAUCCUUAUCUCACAUACAUACGUAAUUAUAAAAUUAAAAAAUUUAAACAUUUAAAUUGUUCAUUAUGGAAGAAAAAGAUCGUGGGAGCGAUGCAGGGGUCCUCUAAAAAGGGCAGCUGCAUAACUCAAGCGAUAAGGCCGAACACCACUUUUUAGAGUUUUUCUACGAGAAAAAGUAAAGACUUUUUCUAAGAGUAAAAGUGGUAAUAAAAUAGAAAAUUUAUGUUUCCGCUGCUUGGGAGUCCUUCGAUCCAAAAGUGAAACUCUCUAGAUCACUUUUAGGAAGUAACGGAAAUACUUUAUUUAAAUAAAAUACAAAAUUUAAAUUAAAAGAAAUAAAAGACAGAGUAAAGAAAUAUGAAACAUCUAGCGAACAAA